Camelus dromedarius (Arabian camel) is the source of this 409-nucleotide long non-coding RNA. RefSeq lists it as uncharacterized. The transcript has 3 exons. The record is from RefSeq and is a predicted model, not a curated record. NCBI's taxonomy places the organism in Eukaryota, Metazoa, Chordata, Mammalia, Artiodactyla, Camelidae.
AGCCGUUUGGCACCCGGAACUCUGGUCUGAAGUGCUGGGUGUGAGGGCUCCACACGCGGCCCCCUGUGAGCCAGUGAAAUUAGACUCAGCGCAAGGAAAAAAGAAACAAGAUCCAGGGCCGGGGCAGAGUGUCUGCACAUGGCUGCUGAGCUGAGAUGUGGGUGCAGCCAUUUUGCAUAAGGAACCCUGGUCUGAAAUUCUGGAUGCAAGUCCUCUGCAUGCAGUGCCCUGUGAGCCAGUGAAAGUAGACUAAGCACAAAGGAAAACAAAAAAACGGAGAUGAAGAACAAUUUAUUGGUCACUAAUUCAGAGCAAACACCGCAUCCUGCAAAAGACCACCCCAGCUUUAUAGCGUGUGGUCCGGCCUACGAGGGAAUGUGGGGAAAAUGAACGUAAUUAACAUCUGAGA